AUUGAACGCUGGCGGCAGGCCUAACACAUGCAAGUCGAACGGUAACAGGAAGAAGCUUGCUUCUUUGCUGACGAGUGGCGGACGGGUGAGUAAUGUCUGGGAAACUGCCUGAUGGAGGGGGAUAACUACUGGAAACGGUAGCUAAUACCGCAUAACGUCGCAAGACCAAAGAGGGGGACCUUCGGGCCUCUUGCCAUCGGAUGUGCCCAGAUGGGAUUAGCUAGUAGGUGGGGUAACGGCUCACCUAGGCGACGAUCCCUAGCUGGUCUGAGAGGAUGACCAGCCACACUGGAACUGAGACACGGUCCAGACUCCUACGGGAGGCAGCAGUGGGGAAUAUUGCACAAUGGGCGCAAGCCUGAUGCAGCCAUGCCGCGUGUAUGAAGAAGGCCUUCGGGUUGUAAAGUACUAUCAGCGGGGAGGAAGGGAGUAAAGUUAAUACCUUUGCUCAUUGACGUUACCCGCAGAAGAAGCACCGGCCAACUCCGUG
RNAcentral lists this ribosomal RNA (490 nucleotides) under uncultured bacterium. RNAcentral's name for it is "partial 16S ribosomal RNA". It matches the Rfam family "Bacterial small subunit ribosomal RNA", at positions 30 to 507 of the family's 1533-position model. The record is from RNAcentral.